GAUGAACGCUGGCGGCGUGCCUAAUACAUGCAAGUCGAACGAGGUCUUCGGACCUAGUGGCGAACGGGUGAGUAACACGUUGGUACCUACCCCGAAGUGGGGAAUAACUGCCCGAAAGGGAGGCUAAUACCGCAUAAUACCGCAAGGUUAAAGCAGUAAUGCGCUUCGGGGGGGGCCAGCGUCCCAUUAGCUAGUUGGUAGGGUAAUGGCCUACCAAGGCGACGAUGGGUAGCUGGAUCGAGAGGUUGACCAGCCACACUGGGACUGAGAUACGGCCCAGACUCCUACGGGAGGCAGCAGUAAGGAAUCUUCCACAAUGGACGAAAGUCUGAUGGAGCAACGCCGCGUGCAGGAUGACGGCCUUCGGGUUGUAAACUGCUUUUAUACGGGAAGAUUAUGACGGUACCGUAUGAAUAAGGACCGGCUAACUACGUGCCAGCCGCCGCGGUAA
This 451-nucleotide ribosomal RNA is filed under the name uncultured bacterium. RNAcentral describes it as "partial 16S ribosomal RNA". It matches the Rfam family "Bacterial small subunit ribosomal RNA", at positions 28 to 523 of the family's 1533-position model. The record is from RNAcentral.